This is a long non-coding RNA of Oxyura jamaicensis (ruddy duck), 2663 nucleotides long. RefSeq lists it as uncharacterized. NCBI's taxonomy places the organism in Eukaryota, Metazoa, Chordata, Aves, Anseriformes, Anatidae. The record is from RefSeq and is a predicted model, not a curated record. The transcript is spliced from 6 exons.
UGCUGUCCUAAAAUGAAAAAAACAAGUUUAUUUUUGUAUGUCUGCAGCGCUUUGUUCCAUACAUUAACGAUGCUGCUCUUCCCCUCCCAGUGAAACAGGAAAUUCUUACAGUUCUGUUUGGAGCAGAGCAAUAGGCUUGCAUAUGUUUGUAAACAGACCAAUAGCACCAGUUUCCCCACUGCCGUACUGCAGCAGGCCUGUGUAUGUAUGCUUUACUUCUUCAGAAAUCCAGAAUUAUUCUGAGCUAGCAAACAUUUACUAAGGUUAAACCAGUUGUGCAGAUCCAUGUAUCUUGACAAAUUAAUUGUGUAGCUUGUUUCAAUAAACAAGAGUUUGCUUUAAGGCGUACUCCAAACGUUACAAGUGUGGCUAAGGUAUCUUGAUCAACAUAGCAAUCUUUUGUGUACUCAUAGUAAUUGCCUUUCAGAGCCUGUGCCAAACAGCAGCUCUUUAACUGGGAAGAAAUUAAUGAAAAUUCAGGCAGCACUGAAAAAAAAUGUUCCGUCUUCCAGAUCUGUGCUAGCUAUGACUGACAAGGUUUGGGUAAAGAAGAGACCGUGCAAAUGUUUGAGGGGGAGAAAAGAGGUAUGCCUCAUUUAAAAUAGCAGGUUGUCUUUAAUAGAAGUAGUGGAGAUGAAUUAAUGAGUUAAGUGCUUAGUCUGGCUUAGCACAAUAAAACCACUAAGCCAUUCAUUUAGUGUGUGAGAAGCCUCACUGUCUGCCAAGGUGAAAGAUUCCUGUAGUGCUGUGAUAACAUUUUGAAGGCCAUGAUUUUUAAAAUGUAAAUGGGCAAAUGUGUUUGAGUGGGACAAAAUAAAUCCCUCGUGUCAAAGCAGAUUAUGGUAUAGGCAUUUUCUCUAUGGAUAAUUUGUUUCCCCUACAGAAAAGUAACAUCUGUUGUGACAGAUUCAUGCAUAUGCUCACCCUUGCCUCAGGGUAGAGAUCUGUAGUGACACUGACUUGCGAAAUACAAUGAAGACACAGGUUAGCGAGAUAGUGUGACAUGUCACGCCGACACCAUGCAGGUAUGUACCUCACAAAACUGCUGAUCUCAGUUUUUGCUAGCAGAGUGUUUCUGUGCACGUCCUCCAUCUGAGCAAAGGCUGCUAGCUGGGGCUGAGCAAUGAGCGUGCCCUGAGCUGAAGGAGCCUUGAAAGGGACCAUUCAGAGAGUGCCACCGAGGCCUUAUCUAGGAAGAGCUUCUGAGGGGUGCAAAUAUCCCUGCCCCUCAGCACCUCUGGGCAUCUGCUGGAUGCUGCUCCCCUGACCAGAGGAUGUGUGUGUGAUGGGGAGCACUAGCGGGGCACCUGACUGUGGGCUCCACAUGCCAUGGGUUGCACAGAAUGGGACCGCUCCAAAACCGAGAAGAUUUUGGAGUAGGUUACUUCCUAAGUGGUUUGAACUUUAAAUGUUUCCAAGUUGUGUUUACCUCUUACUGCCUCUGUCAUGUUUGCGCGGCUGACAGGAAGGUAGGUGUCUGUGCAGAACCCGUUUUGCUGUAAAAACCACUUACUGCACAGAUCCAAACUACUGCUUGUCACAGGCAAAUCUAAUUGUAAAAAUGCUGAGUUUAUAACCCAAAGUAACUUGCUUUGUAGUGGCAAAUUUCCAUUGUAUUAUAAACUUUCUACCUUCUUCUGGUAUUUCAAAACCUGAAAUGCAUUACGUGCACAGAAGGGAAGGAUUUAAGAUGCAAUGAAAAAGAAAAUUCAAUGCUUUGGUAGAGAUUAAUCUUCUCCUGUGUUCUUAAUAACCUUUCACAAAUCACUUUAAUCCUAGUAAAAAACAAAAAACACCCAAGCAAACACAUAAAUCCCUUAACUAAAAAAAAUGUAUAUUUUUUUAACUUUUUAAAUUAAAAUGUAAAAAAUAUUUUUGUUUCAGGUAGAGCACAGAAUCUGGCUUGGCAUGGCCUUUUCCAUACAUAAGUCUUACAAAAUUGGAGAGGAGACAGCAGGCAAGGAGAUGAAAAACUGAAAGAAUCUGGACUUGGGCAAUUACCUGAGCUGACGUGAGUCGGAGUGCUAUCUAAAUAGUGCUAUUAAAAGCCAGAAGAGAAAAUUGGGCUGAGCCGCAGCCAGGCGAUCCAUUGGCAGUGUGGUGCCAACAUCAGAGGAACAGUGCAUUGACUACUGUCAACUUGCUCCACUUGCAACUCGAGAGAUGAGAGGCUUCCUCACGGUAUCUGAGCAGCUGGGCAACUCUGUCUAAAUGGACUCAAAUAUUGCAGAGGAUUUGCCGAAAAGGACAAGACAGCCUACUUUGCCCAGGCCUCACCCUCAGUUCCAUUUCAGAAGAAAAUUUGCAACACCUUUUGUCCUGUUAUCAACUUGCGAUAAUGACAGACUUGGAAAGUUCUGUGCUGCUGCCUUCUCAGACUUUCCUUUGGCGUCUCUUUGGGGAUAGAGAUCAGAGCCAGUAGACAACGCCAGCAACCAGGGCAACCAGCAGAAGACCAACUACAAUGCCCACUAUUAGCUUUGCCUGGUCAUUAACCUUUUCGCUAUUGUCAUCUGAAGCAAAGAAGAAAAAAUAAUGAGGUGACCUAUGAUAAAGAAAAGUGUUACACCAUUUCUAAAGCAUUGCCAUCAGAAACAAGAAAAGGAGUCAGAAUGUCAAAAUGAAAAAAAAAAAAAAGUAAGCAUUGUUCUUAAAAAUAAGGU